This 484-nucleotide ribosomal RNA is filed under the name uncultured bacterium. RNAcentral describes it as "partial 16S ribosomal RNA". It matches the Rfam family "Bacterial small subunit ribosomal RNA", at positions 30 to 507 of the family's 1533-position model. The record is from RNAcentral.
AUUGAACGCUGGCGGCAGGCCUAACACAUGCAAGUCGAGCGGAUGAAGGGAGCUUGCUCCUGGAUUCAGCGGCGGACGGGUGAGUAAUGCAUAGGAAUCUGCCUGGUAGUGGGGGAUAACGUCCGGAAACGGGCGCUAGUACCGCAUACGUCCUGAGGGUGAAAGUGGGGGAUCUUCGGACCUCACGCUAUCAGAUGAGCCUAGGUCGGAUUAGCUAGUUGGUGGGGUAAAGGCCUACCAAGGCGACGAUCCGUAACUGGUCUGAGAGGAUGAUCAGUCACACUGGAACUGAGACACGGUCCAGACUCCUACGGGAGGCAGCAGUGGGGAAUAUUGCACAAUGGGCGAAAGCCUGAUGCAGCCAUGCCGCGUGUGUGAAGAAGGUCUUCGGAUUGUAAAGCACUUUUAGUUGGGAAGAAGAACAGUAAGUUUAUACCUUGCUGUUUUGACGUUACCAACAGAGUAAGCACCGGCUAACUUCGUG